RNAcentral lists this ribosomal RNA (751 nucleotides) under uncultured Alteromonas sp. Its description in RNAcentral is "bacterial SSU rRNA". It matches the Rfam family "Bacterial small subunit ribosomal RNA", at positions 111 to 863 of the family's 1533-position model. The record is from RNAcentral. Lineage: Bacteria; Pseudomonadati; Pseudomonadota; Gammaproteobacteria; Alteromonadales; Alteromonadaceae.
UAAUGCUUGGGAACUUGCCUUUGCGAGGGGGAUAACAGUUGGAAACGACUGCUAAUACCGCAUAAUGUCUUCGGACCAAACGGGGCUUUUAGCUCCGGCGCAAAGAGAGGCCCAAGUGAGAUUAGCUAGUUGGUAAGGUAACGGCUUACCAAGGCGACAAUCUCUAGCUGUUCUGAGAGGAAGAUCAGCCACACUGGGACUGAAACACGGCCCAAACUCCUACGGGAGGCAGCAGUGGGGAAUAUUGCACAAUGGGGGAAACCCUGAUGCAGCCAUGCCGCGUGUGUGAAGAAGGCCUUCGGGUUGUAAAGCACUUUCAGUUGUGAGGAAAAGUUAGUAGUUAAUACCUGCUAGCCGUGACGUUAACAACAGAAAAAGCACCGGCUAACUCCGUGCCAGCAGCCGCGGUAAUACGGAGGGUGCGAGCGUUAAUCGGAAUUACUGGGCGUAAAGCGCACGCAGGCGGUUUGUUAAGCUAGAUGUGAAAGCCCCGGGCUCAACCUGGGAUGGUCAUUUAGAACUGGCAGACUAGAGUCUUGGAGAGGGGAGUGGAAUUCCAGGUGUAGCGGUGAAAUGCGUAGAUAUCUGGAGGAACAUCAGUGGCGAAGGCGACUCCCUGGCCAAAGACUGACGCUCAUGUGCGAAAGUGUGGGUAGCGAACAGGAUUAGAUACCCUGGUAGUCCACACCGUAAACGCUGUCUACUAGCUGUGUGUGCCUUUAAGGCGUGCGUAGCGAAGCUAACGCGCUAA